RNAcentral lists this ribosomal RNA (480 nucleotides) under uncultured organism. RNAcentral's name for it is "partial 16S ribosomal RNA". It matches the Rfam family "Bacterial small subunit ribosomal RNA", at positions 330 to 801 of the family's 1533-position model. The record is from RNAcentral.
CGUACACUCCUGCGGGAGGCAGCAGUGGGGAAUAUUGCACAAUGGGCGCAAGCCUGAUGCAGCCAUGCCGCGUGUAUGAAGAAGGCCUUCGGGUUGUAAAGUACUUUCAGCGGGGAGGAAGGCGAUAAGGUUAAUAACCUUGUUGAUUGACGUUACCCGAAGAAGAAGCACCGGCUAACUCCGUGCCAGCAGCCGCGGUAAUACGGAGGGUGCAAGCGUUAAUCGGAAUUACUGGGCGUAAAGCGCACGCAGGCGGUCUGUCAAGUCGGAUGUGAAAUCCCCGGGCUCAACCUGGGAACUGCAUCCGAAACUGGCAGGCUAGAGUCUUGUAGAGGGGGGUAGAAUUCCAGGUGUAGCGGUGAAAUGCGUAGAGAUCUGGAGGAAUACCGGUGGCGAAGGCGGCCCCCUGGACAAAGACUGACGCUCAGGUGCGAAAGCGUGGGGAGCAAACAGGAUUAGAAACCCUGGUAGUCCCAUGAU